Molecule: transfer RNA, 359 nt
Filed under: uncultured Microcystis sp.
Lineage: Bacteria; Bacillati; Cyanobacteriota; Cyanophyceae; Chroococcales; Microcystaceae
Description: partial 16S-23S ribosomal RNA intergenic spacer
Rfam family: tRNA (bases 134-207)
Source: RNAcentral
AAAGGGAGACCUAAUUCCGGUAGGAGACGAAAAAAAAGUAGUCCCUACCAAGAAUCAAUCCCAAAAGGUCGGAACGAGGUAUGAGGCUUUCAAACUAGGUUCUGGGUUCAUAAAAGACCUGAAUCAGGAACAAGGGCUAUUAGCUCAGGUGGUUAGAGCGCACCCCCGAUAAGGGUGAGGUCCCUGGUUCGAGUCCAGGAUGGCCCACCUGCACAGGUGGCAAAAACAAAAGAAGCGAGGAAUCAGCACCUUAUCUUACUUAUAUAGUAAGAGAGAAUGCUGGCUCUGAGUAAAGAGUCCAGAGGAACCUUGAAAACUGCAUAGAGCUAGGUGAAAAAGCCAAAAAAGAAGACCGCAAG